AACCACAUCACAUUGAAACAAUGGUUUCUAUAUGAACACUGAAGUUAAGCAACGUUGAGCCUGGUCAGUAUCUAGAUGGGUGACCGUUUGGGAAAACUAAAUGCU
Acanthosepion pharaonis is the source of this 105-nucleotide non-coding RNA. The record is from the annotation of a GenBank genome assembly. Lineage: Eukaryota; Metazoa; Mollusca; Cephalopoda; Sepiida; Sepiidae.